UCGAUCGCGUCUUGGUCAAUGAUUUUAGGUGCUUGCACUUGACUGAUUUGACAUUAAGACGAGUGGCGAACUGGUGAGUAACACGUGGGUAACCUGCCCUUGAAGUAGAGGAUAACACUUGGAAACAGGUGCUAAUACUGCAUAACAACGAAAACCGCCUGGUUUUCGUUUGAAAGAUGGCUUCGGCUAUCGCUUUAGGAUGGACCCGCGGCGUAUUAGCUAGUUGGUGAGGUAACGGCUCACCAAGGCAAUGAUACGUAGCCGACCUGAGAGGGUAAUCGGCCACAUUGGGACUGAGACACGGCCCAAACUCCUACGGGAGGCAGCAGUAGGGAAUCUUCCACAAUGGACGAAAGUCUGAUGGAGCAACGCCGCGUGAGUGAUGAAGGGUUUCGGCUCGUAAAACUCUGUUGUUGGAGAAGAACGGGUGUCAGAGUAACUGUUGACAUCGUGACGGUAUCCAACCAGAAAGCCACGGCUAACUACGUGCCAGCAGCCGCGGUAAUACGUAGGUGGCAAGCGUUGUCCGGAUUUAUUGGGCGUAAAGCGAGCGCAGGCGGUUUUUUAGGUCUGAUGUGAAAGCCUUCGGCUUAACCGGAGAAGUGCAUCGGAAACCGGGAGACUUGAGUGCAGAAGAGGACAGUGGAACUCCAUGUGUAGCGGUGAAAUGCGUAGAUAUAUGGAAGAACACCAGUGGCGAAGGCGGCUGUCUGGUCUGCAACUGACGCUGAGGCUCGAAAGCAUGGGUAGCGAACAGGAUUAGAUACCCUGGUAGUCCAUGCCGUAAACGAUGAGUGCUAAGUGUUGGAGGGUUUCCGCCCUUCAGUGCUGCAGCUAACGCAUUAAGCACUCCGCCUGGGGAGUACGACCGCAAGGUUGAAACUCAAAGGAAUUGACGGGGGCCCGCACAAGCGGUGGAGCAUGUGGUUUAAUUCGAUGCUACGCGAAGAACCUUACCAGGUCUUGACAUCUUCUGCCAACCUAAGAGAUUAGGCGUUCCCUUCGGGGACAGAAUGACAGGUGGUGCAUGGUUGUCGUCAGCUCGUGUCGUGAGAUGUUGGGUUAAGUCCCGCAACGAGCGCAACCCUUAUUGUUAGUUGCCAGCAUUUAGUUGGGCACUCUAGCAAGAUUGCCGGUGACAAACCGGAGGAAGGGGGGGAUGACGUCAAAUCCUCAUGCCCCUUAUGACCUGGGCUACCACCGUGCUACAUGGGACGG
This 1218-nucleotide ribosomal RNA is filed under the name Lentilactobacillus diolivorans. RNAcentral describes it as "bacterial SSU rRNA". It matches the Rfam family "Bacterial small subunit ribosomal RNA", at positions 33 to 1237 of the family's 1533-position model. The record is from RNAcentral. Lineage: Bacteria; Bacillati; Bacillota; Bacilli; Lactobacillales; Lactobacillaceae.